GCCGGGUGUGGUGAUGCACGCCUGUAAUCCCAGCUACUCAGGAGGCUGAGGCAGGAGAAUCGCUUGAACCCAGGAGGCGGAGGUUGCAGUGAGCCGAGAUCGCCGCCACUGCACUCCGGCCUGGGUGACAGAGUGAGACUCCGUCUGAA
This 149-nucleotide non-coding RNA is filed under the name Gorilla gorilla gorilla (western lowland gorilla). Lineage: Eukaryota; Metazoa; Chordata; Mammalia; Primates; Hominidae. The record is from Rfam by way of RNAcentral.